Molecule: ribosomal RNA, 465 nt
Filed under: Vreelandella stevensii
Lineage: Bacteria; Pseudomonadati; Pseudomonadota; Gammaproteobacteria; Oceanospirillales; Halomonadaceae
Description: partial 16S ribosomal RNA
Rfam family: Bacterial small subunit ribosomal RNA
Source: RNAcentral
CCUACGGGAGGCAGCAGUGGGGAAUAUUGGACAAUGGGCGAAAGCCUGAUCCAGCCAUGCCGCGUGUGUGAAGAAGGCCUUCGGGUUGUAAAGCACUUUCAGUGGGGAAGAAAGCCUUGGGGCUAAUACCCUCGAGGAAGGACAUCACCCACAGAAGAAGCACCGGCUAACUCCGUGCCAGCAGCCGCGGUAAUACGGAGGGUGCGAGCGUUAAUCGGAAUUACUGGGCGUAAAGCGCGCGUAGGCGGUCUGAUAAGCCGGUUGUGAAAGCCCCGGGCUCAACCUGGGAACGGCAUCCGGAACUGUCAGGCUAGAGUGCAGGGGAGGAAGGUAGAAUUCCCGGUGUAGCGGUGAAAUGCGUAGAGAUCGGGAGGAAUACCAGUGGCGAAGGCGGCCUUCUGGACUGACACUGACGCUGAGGUGCGAAAGCGUGGGUAGCAAACAGGAUUAGAUACCCUGGUAGUC